Long non-coding RNA from Fukomys damarensis (Damara mole-rat), 2902 nucleotides. RefSeq lists it as uncharacterized. Lineage: Eukaryota; Metazoa; Chordata; Mammalia; Rodentia; Bathyergidae. The record is from RefSeq and is a predicted model, not a curated record. The transcript has 2 exons.
CAGACACACACACACACCCCUCUCACCGUCCCCAUUAUAGCUGUGCUAUGGCCCUGACCAUGUAGCCCUCUGGUUCCGGUUCAGUUCCAGCCUUCCUUUCCUUGGCAAGUGCUUGGCUUCUCUGCACUCCAGUUUCUUGCCUGUCCGCUAAGGGAGCUCCCGUACACACUACAGAGGCUGUCGGUGGUCAGUGCUCCUCAGGCACUCCCCGACUUUGUUAUUCCCCCAGUCUGCCUGCUCCCUGCCCCAUCCUCUCUGAAGCCUAAGACUCCUGGCUGGUGGACAAAUGACAAGGUCCCUGCUGCCACUCCACCUCUGAGGCCAAAGGUCACUUGUUCCCCUUGAGGGCCCUGGACAUUUCCCGCACACCGUACCCACACACCCCCAGGGACUCUGCCCUGCAUUCCAGUGCUGCUGUUAAUCCAAGCUGCAGAGGAAACCCAAGUUCCCUGUAUAGCUAGAGCCCCCAGAAGGAAUGGAGUCAUCCCAGUCACACUGACCAGAGGGAACUGUGGCCCACUUCCUAACUCUUUGGGGCAUAUGUCUCCCUGGAUUUCCCCAUGCAAGAGAGCUGUUUAAAUAACUACGUACGAGGUGUGAUUGAAAAAUAUGGUGAUCGGAUCACAGCGGCGUGAGGCUGGCCAGCGGGUUCAUCCACAGAUGAGCACAGCAGCAGAGUGUGCCGGUUACAGGCUGGUCCCUGCAGGUUUGACCGGAAGGAGUUUUCUUGUCCUGGGCUCUUCCUUCCUGGCCACCACGUGUGAGCAGCUUUUCAUCCAUCCACCAUAUUCUUCUGCCAUGUCGUUUCUGCCUUGGAGCCAGCCAACCAUGGGCUGACACCUCUGCUCCUUUAAAUUGUGGCUGUGGAAAAGUGACUGAGACAGGAGGUUUGCCGUCCACUCUGCUGACCUAAGGUUCACUGGUCAAAAAGGCAGGACGAGUGGGAGUGCUUUGAGGACGCACCCCAUACAAAGCCGGUAAGUAGAAGGGUGAUGGGGUGCACCCCAGGUGAUGUCAUCGCAAACAACAGCAAACUACUGGGGAAACCACCGACUCUCAUGGUGCACCCCACAUCUGCAGGGGAGACCUUCUCAGAACUUGGGGAAGUUCUUGGAAUUGCAUUUAGGGCCUGGUGAUGGGCAACUCCAUGGAGCCUCAGGGGCACACGGGUUGCCUGAAUGGUUACUUCAGGAGGUAAAUUUAUAGGCAACUCACAAUCACAUCACAAUCACAUGGCAUAUUUGUACACCUUGUUCAUACAGUUUUAGGCCUGAAAUAAUAACAGUGUUCAUUUUACAGAGCUUUUGUCUACAGAGACUCAGUGUGUGGGUGACUAGUUUCUAGGUCACGUGGCCAGUUCAUAUCAGUGAUGGAUAGGGCUCAAAUCCAGGGCUCUGUCUGCAGCUUACAUCGGUGUCUGCUCUGCAGACCUGGCUGCCAUCUCCUCCACAGCCCCCGACCCCUUCUCUUUCAGGGGUCUUUGCUUUGGGGCCUGCUUUAGUGGUUUCUGUUGCUUAACCCAACCUUUCCUAAAAAAUCAAAGCAGAAUUCUCUUUCUAAAGAGAAUGCCCUGGAAUGCAGAAUUCUCUCUGGGAAACGCUCGUUUCUGAGAGCUGAGGCUGGGCUGCCUGCUCGGAGGCUCUGCGGCCUGAGUGAGGCAGACUUUGCGAUUCCCACAUUUCUGAGUCACCGAGAAGGUGAUCGUGGUCAUGGACAGCUUUCGCGUGGAUUCUGAAUGCUGAGGACAGGCCAGAAGGAGGGCAGUCUUCGUUUAUAAUAAGACUCACAUACCAAAUUUUACAGGACACUUCACGUGCUACCAAUUCUUUUCACACCAUCACCACAUUUAAUCCUUACGAUAAUCCGUGUUAUGGUCCCCACUUUAAAGGUAGGGGAAAUUUUGGUGUACAAAUCUGUCGUUGUCUUGUCUGGGAUCCCAGGCCGAUAUCCAACAGGUGGGACAAAACUGGGUUCUUCCCUCUGCAAACACGGGACUUCACCGAUGACAAUUUGUGGCUUUCCCUGGGUGAGGAGACAAAAGAGCCCUCCCAGGUGGAUUAACCGGGCACUUCUAGUGGGAAUCCUCUCACUCCCAAUUCCUGUAACACUGUUACUCGUCUCUUCUCCAAGAAUCAGAAAAUCGGUCAAAGACAUCAAAGAGACCCUCAGCCGCAGUCCAGCAGGUGCCUGGCGACAGGCGGAGGUGGCAUGCAAAGACCCCAGGGUCAGGUCUGGAGCUUUGAGCUCAGGAGCCUCCACACCAGCGCGGUCACAGAGGAGCACCAGUUCUCUCCUGGACGCCUGGGGGCUUUGAGCUGAGGGUCUGCCGCAGGACUCCCUCCAAGGAGUUUCCAGUUCGUUAGGAAGAGCACAACUGUUUUGACGUCUGUGGUUGUUGCACAAAACAGAAAGGAAUCGAGGGCCUGGCUGUCCGAAGCCAGGUGGGAGAGGACUUCACAGAGGAAGUGGACUUGAGCACCAGCAGGACCCCAGGGCAGAGGAAAAAGCAGCAGAGCAGGCAGGGCUGGGCCGCGAGCUCCUCUGUGAGCGCUCUGGACCUUCCGUGUGCAACACAGAUCUGAGCUUGGCGCCCAUGACCUCCUCUUCGGGAAAGGGCCACCCCCUUGUUUCCUUGUCCCGAUCUCACUUGUGCCCCACGUGUCUGCUUGUUAACCCUGAUUCCCCUGUUGUUCUGCUGUGAACCCCGCACCCCAGGCUUUCUGUCUCCGGCUUCAUGGUACUAACCCAGCGUAUCUCCUGCUGAGCCUGGGUCCUGGCCAGGCCACAGCCCGGGAGGACAGGGAUGUUACUUUUCAGAGCUGUCUGUUGAAUAGAGAUGAAAGAUGGAAAUACUGACUGAGGGAAUCUGCAACAAGUAGUCUUGCCAGAGGUUCACCAAGAG